AUCUUAUGUCCAGCAAAAUCAUGCCUAAUAAGACUUAUGGGGUAAACUGGGCUUAGGUUAGACCAUUUAAGACCUCACAACAUUUGUAAGUAGAACCAAUUAGUAAAUACCCUGGCCUGGAUCAGCUGCCACUGGUGCUUAUAGUAUGGCCAUCCUUUCCCUGUGGCCUUUAUAUCUUGACACACCUAUUUCCUCCUUAGAGAUGAGGACCCUUGAGGACAUUUUCUUCCAACAGAGACCCUCAUCACCUAAGGAAAAAAUGCAAUCUUGGUAGUGGGGGGGGGGUAGAUAAGUGAAAAGGGGGACAGGAUCAGAUUGAACAAGAAAACUCAAUGUACAUAUGUUAUAAAGGAAGUGGGAAAUGCCUCUGGCAGGGAGACAACAAAUGGGACUGGGGAGAAGGCAUGAUUGAUGAAGACACACUGGACACUUGGACUCUGACUUGUAACCUCCUUGUACAACCUUUGAAGUUCAGAGGGGGAAAAUGCAAUCUAGAGGUAAUCAUUUUAAGCCAUUGUAUUUAAACAUAGGAGAAGUGUCUUCAUUUCUCACCUCUCAUCUUCUUCAGAUAGUAGUUACAAACACAG
This is a long non-coding RNA of Perognathus longimembris pacificus (Pacific pocket mouse), 587 nucleotides long. RefSeq lists it as uncharacterized. The transcript is spliced from 3 exons. The record is from RefSeq and is a predicted model, not a curated record. Lineage: Eukaryota; Metazoa; Chordata; Mammalia; Rodentia; Heteromyidae.